This is a long non-coding RNA of Danio aesculapii, 377 nucleotides long. RefSeq lists it as uncharacterized. Lineage: Eukaryota; Metazoa; Chordata; Actinopteri; Cypriniformes; Danionidae. The record is from RefSeq and is a predicted model, not a curated record. The transcript has 3 exons.
GCAGAAAUAAGCCUUCGGUCAGGUUACUUACUGUAGAUGGUGUUUUUGCUAAUAGACGACAGCUGCUUUUUGCUUCGUAUCUUCGCAUGUGGACCUUUUGGAGCUCAGCAUCGCUCAGAGUGUCUUUGAUCAACACAAACUCACACAUAAUGGGCAGUUGCUGGAGAUCCCAGGCAUCAUAAACUGCCUGUGCACCAUCUACUGUGAGCUCCAGCAGGUGCACCCGGAUCUGGUCAAUGUCCCUCUGUGUGUGGAUAUGUGUCUCAACUGGCUGCUGAAAGUCUAUGACAGUGGCAGAAGUGGAAAAGUUCAAGUGCUGUCCAUGAAGAUUGGCUUGUUUUCUCUUUCAAAAGGACCCAUAAAGGACAAGUACAAAU